This 673-nucleotide long non-coding RNA is filed under the name Pan troglodytes (chimpanzee). RNAcentral describes it as "lincRNA". Lineage: Eukaryota; Metazoa; Chordata; Mammalia; Primates; Hominidae. The record is from RNAcentral.
AGGACUGUGCAUCACAAACACAGCCAAUCCCAGGCUGCUCUGUCUGUGGACCGUCAGAGGACACUGCCCUCUUGCCUGGUACAGAAGGAGACAGUGAUUGUUUGGGGGUGGGUAAGGCACAAACUCUGGCAUGUGAAGGAGUCUCUGAAGUUAGCACCCUUCUAAGAAUCCAAACUCUACAAGCAGAGGUUACCAAGCACAGAGGCGUGGCACCCAAGGUCACACAGGUAACACACAUGUGGAGCUUGGGGUUAAAGCCAGGCAGACAUGAGGUCACCUCAUGUCACCAUAGGAGGCUCUGCCGAUUGCCCUGGGGGACACACACACCUGCGGCUGCUUCCAACAGCUGUGCCCAACCUCAGAGGAUGAAGAUGAUUCACAUUUGAGGCUCUUCAGAAUAAUGUGCCUGGCUCUAAGGCAGCUUCCAAAGAGGACAUUCAGCCUGCUAUGGCUGUGAAGAUAUUCAACCCGAUGUCAUCCACUGUGAGGCAGAGGUUCUGGCAUUUUGUGGACAAAGCAGCCGGGAUUCUGUCACCUCGCUCUGCAUACACCAGCAUUUAAUGCAAGUGGAAGGAGGGCCCGGGAAACUCACGCUGUGACCUGAUAAAUGGCAUGCAGAGGAGUGUGCGAUUUUCUCAGGCCAGCCGUGGGGAGCUGUCAGAGCCAUCCAAAU